AUGGACGGGUUCGUCAUCCAUCCAGGGAUGGGUGGAGGAGGAAGAGCAGGGGUGGGUGAUGUUGAAAAGCUCCAUGACCCACUUGCUGGAAUGUGGCGCACGCGGAACACGGUCCGGAACCUGGUGAGUGGUACGUACAUCCCUGGCCAUCACCGUAGCAUCCGUGCAAGACCCCGACCAGAAGAGUUAGGGCUGAGAAAAGCUGGGACUUGUUUUUGGAGAGCGGUAGGAGGGCAGGAAAAGGGACGUGCUGCUUUCCACGCACCGCCGUUGUCUAACAACGCUCCCCUGUCGUGGGCAGCCAAUGGGACUGAAACACUAAUGGCAUUCUUCCAUGUGCCAAACAAUAACCCAUACAACCAGCGCCCGGCAUUGGGGUGCAUUGAGCCAAAGACCGUUCUGCGAUCACCAAAACAAGACCCACGGGCAUCCUCUGCUCUCCUCUUCUUCCUCCUUUUUCUUCCUAACCAGCUCUGUCUCCUUCUCCAAACAGCCUUAAGCAGGACAAAUCACUGGGCAAAGAGAUCAGGAGGAAAGGCAUCAGCAGUCCAGCCGGCUUCGUCCUCCUCUCCGUGCUAUGAUCUUCCGCCUCAGGCGCUUGACGCCAGGGUACUUCCGCCUGCUACAGAUGCAGUUGGCCAGUGGGCCUGAAUCGGAACCUCAGGACCGGCUGAUGAAUCAGUUGGCGCUGCUCUUGGCCAUCAUGGGACUGAGCCUGUCCUGCUACAGCGCACGGCAAAUGAGCGAGGACCCCAAGCCUCACCCGGAACCCUGACCCUCCGAAGCUGGGCAGGAGGGACCCAGAAUAAAAGGAGGAGAUAGAAGCAAAGGGAAGUUGGAGAUGUGGAUGUCUCCCUUGCGGUACCAGCCAUCCUUUUUAGGUCCACGUAGCAUGCCUUGCCUGGGAUGUGCGUCUUAGAAGCAUCGUCAUCACCAGUCCUUUCUAGUGCAAUCCUGGUGCCGUUUCCGACCGUAUUGAACUCUUCUCAUUAGAAAAGGAGGAUAUACCAAGUAUUUUCCCAAUAUGCUUUGUCGUAACUUAAGAUGGUUAUUGGACCUUGGAGUCUCCUCCGCCUGCCCUGGUUGAACCGUCACCGGAAGUCAUGCGCAGGUCUGGAUGGAAUAUGGAAGAAGGGAAUGUAGAACUCGUUCCAUGGUUGCCUUAGUGUCCAAAGCUAAGUGUUGCCUUAGCUUCCAAAUAGCCCUUUAUUUUGUCUAGAUUGAAAAAAAAUACUUUUAGGGACUAUGUAAUCUCUUUGGUGAUGUUGGAUGGGGGAUGUUGGGAGUCACAGACCCAACUAAUAAUAAUAAUAAUAAUAAUAAUAAUCUAUAUAUAUAAAAGAGUGAUGGCAUCACGGCGACCGACAAAACAACAAAACUACAGGCCCCCCAACCUCGAAAGUUGACAACACAACCCAUCAUCCACGCCUCUAGGUUGAUACAACAAAAAGAAAAGAAAAAUAAAGUCCUAAUGAGAGGGAAAGGAAUAAUUGCUUUUAUCCAAUUGCUGCCAGUUAGAAGGCUAAGCUCCUCCAACUUGGUCUCCUAGCAACCCAAUAAAAAAUAAUAAAAAACACUAAAAAAUAAUUAAAAACACUAAAAGAUUAAUACAAUAAAAUACUAUAAUAAGAGAAAAUAACUAAAAAUAAUACAAGAAAAUAAUAAAAUAUAAUAAAUAAAAAGAUAACUUACAAUAAAAUUAAUUAAAAAAUACAAAUAACGUCAAAUAAAAAUUACACAACAAUUUUUAACCAAUACCACCACCACUUUGCCACAGCAACGUGUGGCCGGGCACAGCUAGUAAUAAUAAUAAUAAUAAUAAUAAUAAUAAUAAUAAUAAUAAUAAUAAUAAUCUUUAUUUAUACCCCGCCACCAUCUCCCCAAUGGGGACUCGGGGCGGCUUACAUGGGUUCAUGCCCAGAACAAUACAAUAUCACAGAAUAUAAAUAGAACAACAAAUCAUAACACAUUAAACAAUACAAUAAAAGAUAAUAUACACUACAUUAAGCAAAAUCAAAAGAACAAUAAAACCAAGGGCGGGCCACAUGAACACAAGGUUAAAACUCGGGGUGAGAAAGGAAAUAGGAAUAAAAACCACAGAGAACAGGGUCAUAAAGUAGUGGUGCAAACUGGAGGACAGAUAUUGGAGGAGAGUAACAAAAGGGAUAUAUGCAGUAAUUAAAUGGUGAUGUUUGGCCCCAUUGGGGAUAUUAAGAUCCUCCUUCCAUUGGGAAAAUUGUAGCUUUCCAUUACAGAGGGUCAAAAAACAUGCCUCCAAGGUAUACGUGAGAUGGUAUUUCUUGCAGAUUCUACCCGCUUUUGAUACUAUGCAGCCCUUAGGAAGUUGUCUAAUGCUGAGACUAAGGGUUGGGUCAAUACAUCUUUCUGCUUGAGUCCAAUGUCAGUUCCAUACUGAGUGUGGAAGGCUUGUUGUGGGGUGAUCGGUUGCCGCCUGACCCGAUUGUCUCAAUUCUAUCCAACGGUAAGAAUGGUCCUUUGAUAAUGUGGUCGAUAUCCAAACCAGUAUUUUUAAAAUAUUAUUUCGAAUUCUCAACUCGAGAGUUCUAGUGCCUCACCAAACUACAAAUCCCAACAUUCCACAGGAUUGAACGGCUGAUUGAGAAUGCCAUAGUAUUGCUAAAAGGGUCUGGGAUGCUCAAAUGAGUGACAGAUGGUGGGCUGCACCCUUUCUCGACUGGUUUUCAGAGGGCAAUGUUUGAAUGUUGUUAGAAUAAAGUUCUCAUCUGCCCUGAUCAGCAUAGGAUGAUGGGAAAUGCGAUUCAGCAACAUCUGGAAGGCUAUAAGGUGCCUUUUGGCUUCCAGUGGGCAAACCAAUGCAGAGAGAGAAAGCCAAGAUACAUACAUUCAUACAUACAUACAUGAUACAGACAUACAGCCUGAUUCCCAGGUUAGAGUUUGCAAAUGUGGGCACAAGGAAGACCUCCACUUUGCAUCUUUUUCCACAAAAAGGCAAUUCCCCGGAGCCAUGCCAGGAGUGCUUCCCCAAUUGUCUCCGAUUCAAUAGACAGGGAGAAAGAGAAGGAAGUGCAAUUGAAAGGGUUUGCUGCAAAUGAUUUUAUUUGUAACGCGCCCCGCCUCCCACUUGACGUGGAGUUGCAGAACACCACAGACUGGCUGUUACUUAACCAAACAUGUUGGCCAGACAGCUGUGACCUACAUCAUGCCUGUAAAUGCCCGAUUAGAAGGGGAACGGCUUUUCAACAACGUCUAGACAUCUAUGAAUAUGCCAGGUAAAGAGGGACAGGGAGCUGUAUCUUC
This 3279-nucleotide long non-coding RNA is filed under the name Anolis carolinensis (green anole). RNAcentral describes it as "lncRNA (ENSACAG00000045248.1)". The record is from RNAcentral. Lineage: Eukaryota; Metazoa; Chordata; Lepidosauria; Squamata; Anolidae.